Molecule: RNA transcript, 1259 nt
Organism: Pyrus x bretschneideri (Chinese white pear)
Lineage: Eukaryota; Viridiplantae; Streptophyta; Magnoliopsida; Rosales; Rosaceae
Gene name: probable plastid-lipid-associated protein 13, chloroplastic
Exons: 8
Source: RefSeq, a predicted model, not a curated record
CUAUUCAACGCCACUACACUUCUCCUCUCUCAGCUCUCUCCCUAGGGUUUCCCUCUCUCCAAUGGCGUCCGUGCAGAGCCACCUCUCUGCCGUUUCUUCGAUUGCCUCGCGCUGUUCGUCUCCGUCUUCACCGCCGUCGUCGUCCUUCUCUUCGACCGCUGCCACUUCGCUGGUCCCCGUUGGCCGGUCGCCGCAGUGCCGCCGGAAAUGUUCCGGAGUGGGGAUGAUUCGGCUCCGGCGGUCCGUGUGCCGAGCGAUGGUUCAGCAGGCCGUGCCCGGCGCUUCUGCUGCGUAUGCUAAGGAAAUGGAGAGGCUUUCCGCCAAAGAAUCGCUGCUUCUCGCUUUUAAGGAUGCUGGGGGUUUUGAGGCGUUAGUCACAGGGAAGACAACAGACAUGGAGCGGAUUGAUGUGAAUGAGAGGAUAACUGCUUUGGAACGAGUCAAUCCAACACAACGUCCUACAACGUCGCCUUUUUUGGAAGGUCGAUGGAAUUUCGAGUGGUUUGGAUCUGGAAGCCCACGUCUAUUUGCUGCCAGAUUUUUGUUUGAGAGGUUUCCUUCAACUUUGGCUAGUUUGACAAAAAUGGAGGUGGUCCUCAAGGAUGAGAAUGCAAAGAUUACAGCAAAAUUGAAAGUGUUGAACUCGAUAGAAGGCAAGUUUACUUUGUCAACCAAGUUAACUGUGGAGGGACCAGUUCGAAUGAAAGAGGAAUAUGUUGAGGGGGUUCUUGAGACACCAAAAGUAAUUGAAGAGGCAAUACCAGACCAGCUAAAAGGUGCACUUGGUCAGGCCGUAAACAUAGUGCAACAACUUCCUCUGCCUAUUAGGGAUGCCUUUUCCAGCGGGCUGAAAGUUCCUUUAAGUACUAUUUAGUAUUUACUAAGACAGUAUAUGAACGUUGGAAACUGACUAUUUGGGAUAAAGAUGCUAAGAUGCUGGGGAGUUCUUUUAUCCUAUGAAUCCUAACCCUCCCUGCAUGUUAAUCAGCCGUUACGUCUCCUUUCUGUAAAUCCAAGGGUGCCAAUAGUCUUCUGUGAGCUGGAGCUUUUGAGAGACUCUUCAUGAUCUCCUAUCUUGAUUCGGAGAUACUUAUAAUACGAGAUGCUGCUGGAGUUCCUGAAGUUCUUACAAGGUUGGAGUCUCCGCUGGAAGAAAGCGUCAUAGAGUAUGAAAGCUAAAAGGUGCUUUUAUGUAAGAUAACUCAACUUUUCUACUUUUUCCACAUAUUUGAGUUAAAAAAAAAGUUCUAUAUUUACCA